GAGUUUGAUCCUGGCUCAGAUUGAACGCUGGCGGCAUGCCUUACACAUGCAAGUCGAACGGCAGCACGGGAGCUUGCUCCUGGUGGGCGAGUGGCGAACGGGUGAGUAAUGCAUCGGAACGUAUCCUGGAGUGGGGGAUAACGUAGCGAAAGUUACGCUAAUACCGCAUAUUCUGUGAGCAGGAAAGCGGGGGACCUUCGGGCCUCGCGCUCUUGGAGCGGCCGAUGUCGGAUUAGCUAGUUGGUGAGGUAAAGGCUCACCAAGGCGACGAUCCGUAGCAGGUCUGAGAGGAUGAUCUGCCACACUGGAACUGAGACACGGUCCAGACUCCUACGGGAGGCAGCAGUGGGGAAUUUUGGACAAUGGGGGCAACCCUGAUCCAGCCAUGCCGCGUGAGUGAAGAAGGCCUCGG
Molecule: ribosomal RNA, 412 nt
Filed under: bacterium enrichment culture clone ALO1_GLFRUDD03F8LB2
Lineage: Bacteria
Also listed under: 3 other names
Description: bacterial SSU rRNA
Rfam family: Bacterial small subunit ribosomal RNA
Source: RNAcentral